Molecule: long non-coding RNA, 434 nt
Filed under: Homo sapiens (human)
Lineage: Eukaryota; Metazoa; Chordata; Mammalia; Primates; Hominidae
Description: HSALNT0373598
Source: RNAcentral
AGAGAGUGAAGUGGCAGGAUAGACAAAACUUUCUUGGGGAAGAAAACACAUGCACAAAUCCUGGUGUAAGGAAUAUUUUAAGCAUAUAUCUUCAAUAUCAUUCAUCCAGGACCGAGCAAGACCAACACUCUUCCUCCUCCUCUGCCUACUCAAUGUGAAGACAAUGAGGAUGAACACCUUUAUGAUGCUCCACUUCCACUUAUUGAAUAAGUAGUCUCAUUGGCAGUGCCAAAAAAUUCCAGUCAAAUUAGAGUUGUACAGGAAUCAAAAAGAGAUUUAUCUUAAGGCAGAAGAAUGUGAAGAAUUGAGCAAAUAGAAAUGGAGAUUAUGCGAACUCAGUUGUGAAGCUAGAGAUGAACAAUACUUCAAAAGAAGAUCUUUAACCAUGCUAUAUCCUUCAGAAACCAGUUUUGUAUAUAUAUAUAUGCUUUUCA